Molecule: ribosomal RNA, 2861 nt
Filed under: Alteromonas sp. V450
Lineage: Bacteria; Pseudomonadati; Pseudomonadota; Gammaproteobacteria; Alteromonadales; Alteromonadaceae
Description: bacterial LSU rRNA
Rfam family: Bacterial large subunit ribosomal RNA (bases 1206-2860)
Source: RNAcentral
AGAUAAGCUUCAGUGCUUUUUCUGCCAGAGCAUCGGUUAUCGGACUAGCAUUUACACUUAUAUAAGCUUCAAGCGCGUGAACGAAUGCGUCUAUACCGCUUGCUGCUGUAAUGGACUGUGGGCAUGUUUUUGUCAUCUCAGGUGCAACAAUAGCUACAUCGGGUAAUAGGCAGGGGCUAACAAUGCCUUUUUUCAUUUGUGCUAUCGGGUCUGACAAGAUAGCAAUGUUGGUAACUUCUGAACCUGUACCAGCGGUAGUAGGGAUAACAAUAAGAGGCAAGCGACGUUUCGAAAGCGUAUUUUCACCGAAGAGUUCACUGAGGGGGCCUGCAUGAUCGUAGGUAGCUGCAAGUACUUUUGCGCUAUCAAUAGCGCUACCUCCACCAAGAGCAAUAAUUCCGUCUACUUGCUUCUCUCUAAGUACCGCUAACUUAUCUUCUAUGAUAUUCACUUCAGGCUCUGGUGGAAUGUCGUCAAUAAUAAGUAAAGGUGAAUAGGGUAACAGAGUGAGUAGUUGGUCAAGCAAACCAGAUGAAGAAACGCCUUUGUCAGUAACGAUGGCACAGUCCUUUAUGGAUAAUCUCGCCAUUUCAUCAGUGAGGGCUUUUAUAGCCCCAAGACCGGUUAUGAGUUUUCCAGCAGUUUUGAAUUCUGAAACUUUCAUAUAAACACUCGUAAAGGCAAUGAGAAAUUCAAAUAGUGAUACUUAAACUUAUAGUACACGGUGAGACUUUCCAAUUAUCUAACCUUAUAGAAUGCUAAAAGUGAGCGUGAUUAGUGGUUUUUAUGAACGUAUUGCACAUUGUUUAUGCAAACGAUCGAAAAAUAAGGAUUUUUUUAAAAUACUUGUUGACGUGAGCGCUCAUUUCCCUAAAAUGCGCAUCCGCUUCGGGGGAAAAGCAAAACAGCAAGCCUCCUGAAGUAAGUCUCUACUACCUUUAUAGGCCAGUAAAGACGGGAGUUUAGAAGAAGCGCUUCAGAAAAUAAACUUUCAAAAAGUGUUGACAACGAAAACUUCCAGCGUAUAAUGCGCACCUCACUCGAACAGGGUGAGUCACUAAGAAGCAAAGCUUCUAGUGAAUUGCGACGAAGUCGCAACGUUCUUUAAAAAUUUAGACAAGACAAUCUGUGUGGGCCAUCACUAAGUGCCUUUAGUGAUGUGACUCACAAAGUGCUAACCCUUGAUAUAACGAUUAACGUUGACCUGCAAAGCAGCCAACGGUAAACCGCGAAAAUCAAGCAGGGUGCUUAGUGAUGGGGUGACUGCGUACCUUUUGUAUAAUGGGUCAGCGACUUGGUUUAAACAACGUUUAAGUGCAGUAAACUGAAGGCUUGUAGCUCGGAUGGUUGCAGCCCUGCCCUCGAAUAAGAGCGGUGAGGUCACAACGCCGACCGCCUCGCAAAAUAGGCUUGUAGCUCAGCUGGUUAGAGCGCACCCCUGAUAAGGAAUUUUAGGUAAAUCCGGAAUUCUAAGGCCGAGACACGAGACGAGCUCCCAAGGGAGUGAAGUUGUUGAUGCCCUGCUUCCAGGAAAAGCUUCUAAACUUAUGAUUAUAUGAACCGUACCCCAAACCGACACAGGUGGUCAGGUAGAGAAUACUAAGGCGCUUGAGAGAACUCGGGUGAAGGAACUCGGCAAAAUUGUACCGUAACUUCGGGAGAAGGUACGCCUCUGUUUGUGAACACUUCGCGUGGUAAGCAAGUGGAGGCCGCAGUGACCAGGUGGCUGGGACUGUUUAUUAAAAACACAGCACUCUGCAAACUCGUAAGAGGACGUAUAGGGUGUGACACCUGCCCGGUGCCGGAAGGUUAAUUGAUGGGGUUAGUUUUCGGACGAAGCUCUUGAUCGAAGCCCCGGUAAACGGCGGCCGUAACUAUAACGGUCCUAAGGUAGCGAAAUUCCUUGUCGGGUAAGUUCCGACCUGCACGAAUGGUGUAACCAUGGCCACGCUGUCUCCACCCGAGACUCAGUGAAAUUGAAAUCGCAGUGAAGAUGCUGUGUACCCGCACCUAGACGGAAAGACCCCGUGAACCUUUACUACAGCUUGGCACUGAACAUUGAACCUACAUGUGUAGGAUAGGUGGGAGGCUUUGAAGCACAGUCGCUAGAUUGUGUGGAGCCGUCCUUGAAAUACCACCCUUGUAUGUUUGAUGUUCUAACAUUGGUCCCUAAUCGGGAUUGUGGACAGUGUCUGGUGGGUAGUUUGACUGGGGCGGUCUCCUCCCAAAUAGUAACGGAGGAGCACGAAGGUUAGCUAAUCACGGUCGGACAUCGUGAGGUUAGUGCAAUGGCAUAAGCUAGCUUAACUGCGAGACAGACACGUCGAGCAGGUACGAAAGUAGGUCAUAGUGAUCCGGUGGUUCUGUAUGGAAGGGCCAUCGCUCAACGGAUAAAAGGUACUCCGGGGAUAACAGGCUGAUACCGCCCAAGAGUUCAUAUCGACGGCGGUGUUUGGCACCUCGAUGUCGGCUCAUCACAUCCUGGGGCUGAAGUCGGUCCCAAGGGUAUGGCUGUUCGCCAUUUAAAGUGGUACGCGAGCUGGGUUUAGAACGUCGUGAGACAGUUCGGUCCCUAUCUGGUGUGGGCGUUGGAUGAUUGAUGGGAGCUGCUCCUAGUACGAGAGGACCGGAGUGGACGAACCGCUGGUGUUCGGGUUGUCAUGCCAAUGGCAUUGCCCGGUAGCUAUGUUCGGAACGGAUAACCGCUGAAAGCAUCUAAGCGGGAAGCCGGCCCAAAGAUGAGUCAUCCCUGAACUUUAAGUUCUGGAAGGGUUGUUAUAGACGAUGACGUUGAUAGGCAGGGUGUGGAAGCGUUGUAAGGCGUUAAGCUAACCUGUACUAAUUGCCCGAGAGGCUUAACC